UCUGGUUGAUCCUGCCAGUAGUGAUAUGCUUGUUUCAAAGAUUAAGCCAUGCAUGUCUAAGUAUAAGCGAACUUAUACAGUGAAACUGCGGAUGGCUCAUUAAAACAGUUUGAAUUUAUUUGAUGAAUGUAUGAGAAUACUACUUGGAUAACCGUAGUAAUUCUAGAGCUAAUACAUGCAACGACGCCCGACCGUUUCACUACGGAAGGGCUGUAUUUAUUGGAUACCAAAACCAUCCUUCCCUCGGGAAGUUUUGUUUGAUGAUUCACAAUAACUGAUCGGAUCGCCACUGUGGUGGCGACAGGUCAUUCAACAUUCUGCCCUAUCAGCUUUCGAUGGUUGUGUAGUGGACAACCAUGGCCAUAACGGGUAACGGAGAAUCAGGGUUCGAUUCCGGAGAAGGAGCUUGAGAAUUGGCUACUACAUCUAAGGAAGGCAGCAGGCGCGCAAAUUACCCAAUCCCGAUUCGGGGAGGUAGUGACAAAAAAUAACAAUACCGGGCCUUUUUGGGCUUGGUAAUUGGAAUGAGGGAGAGUUAAACGGACCAUCGAGUAUCCAUUGGAGGGCAAGUCUGGUGCCAGCAGCUGCGGUAAUACCAGCUCCAAUAGCGUAUAUUAAAGUUGUUGCAGUUAAAAGCUCGUAGUUGGACUUGUGUGCGCUGUCCGCGGGUGGCCUGCGCCCAAAAGGGCGUUUCGGUUCGGCCCCGGUGGCGCCUUGAAAUCUGCAGCUGGGGGGACGUUGGCCUUAACUGGUCGGCGACCGCACGCCGGCUGCUCGGUUACUGUGAGAAAAUUAGAGUGUUCAAGGCAGGCAUUGGGUGCAAUUGAAUACAUUAGCAUGGAAUAAUAAAAUAUGGCUCCUGCCGUAUUUUGUUGGUUUUGACUGGUGGGAGUAAUGAUUGAUAGGGACGGUUGGGGGUGCUAGUAUUGAGCGGCCAGAGGUGAAAUUCAUGGAUUCGCUCAAGACUAACUUAUGCGAAAGCAUUCACCAAGGACGUCCUCUUUAAUCAAGAACGAAAGUUGGGGGAUCGAAGACGAUCAGAUACCGUCGUAGUCUCAACCAUAAACUAUGUCGACUUGGGAUCGGCGGUAGUUUUUUCAUUAAGACACUGUCGGGACCACGGGAGAAAUCAAAGUGUCUGGACUCUGGGGGAAGUAUGGUCGCAAGGCUGAAACUUGAAGGAAUUGACGGAAGGGCACCACCAGGAGUGGAGCCU
Molecule: ribosomal RNA, 1216 nt
Filed under: metagenome
Description: SSU rRNA
Rfam family: Eukaryotic small subunit ribosomal RNA
Source: RNAcentral